AGAACUUACAUGCAAAAGUCAAACGAAAAGCUAAGCUAAAAACGAAAAUCAACAACAUUCUUCUUGACGGAUUGGGGUUUGGAUUUUGGUGGUGAGGAAGUGGUGUCUUGGGAAUAGGAAGCAUUGAAACAAGUGUUGAACGACAUUAAGGUGUAGGUGCAAGUGAACGCUUGAGCUUACGAGACUACGCUGAAGUUAUCCGGACGUGGAGCAUUCAUCUGUACUUGGUACUCAUGUCUACAUCACAAUGCACUGUGAAGGCUGUGGCUCAGCAACUCAAAAUAAACGGCCAAGGAGAAGAAACUUACCAAUAGAACAAUCGGCUCCCAAAGGGCAAACCAAGAGGCAUGGAGCCAAGAUAGUGUCAAAGGAAGGAAAAAAUUGGUACAAGAAGCAUACUAAGGCUUCUUACUCUGUGAUGCCUGCAUUGAUUGAGAUAUCCUAGCUCAUGAGUUCCCACAAAUCUUAAGGCGGAUGUGAGAACUUAGAAUGAAUUUUGCAUUUGCUAAGCCAAAUGAAUGCAACUUUAGCGUAGUCUGUGGGUUCUAUGGGAAUUGGGUGCCAGAGACUCGCAACCACUAUGUCACUGUCCAUAGUAAGAAAGUUCUUAUCACUCCAGUGAGCAUCAAUGCUAUCUUUGGGAUGUCUGAGGACACAGAACCAUAAGUUCUAACUCAGCUAAACAUCCCACCUCUUAGUGGACCAAGCAUAACGGUAAGAGAUAUCACAAAUCUCUUAUGUAUGCUCACAUUCUCCGAGAGACGUGAGUUUGGUUGAAGGUUGUGAUGAACAACCUCAUUCUAGGAUUGGGAUACACGAACAUCUCUCAUGAAUGGGUGUUUCUUUAAAUCAAUGAUGUGGAAGGAUCGGGUUCAUGAGGUCCACAUGUAUGCAUUUGGAGGGGUCAUUACAAAGAUGUGUCAUCUUGCAGGUGUUCUGGAGGAGAGCCUGGAUUACAUGGCACCACUGUACCCAACAGCAGUGGAUAUUACUGGUACGAAAGGGUCUGACACUAAUUUAGGCCCCAUUCUCACCAUUGUUGAGCGCUACAGAGGAGAUGAGCUGAUCAUGGCGAGAAUGUAUGUCUUGGAGAUGCCCCGACACAGGAUUGGCGGUAGGUCAUCUAAUAUGAUAGACUUUGGCAAGGUCAACGUGUGUUACCCAUUGAAUGCUUGAUAUUUUUUGAAUAUACUUCUUGAAAAGAAAUAUAAACGAUCAUAUGCAAUAUAUUUAUCCAACUAAGAUUCGGGGGUGAUCCCACAGAGAAUGUGGAAGAAUAUUAUCAAUAACAAAUAUUUAACUCU
Solanum lycopersicum (tomato) is the source of this 1304-nucleotide long non-coding RNA. RefSeq lists it as uncharacterized. Lineage: Eukaryota; Viridiplantae; Streptophyta; Magnoliopsida; Solanales; Solanaceae. The record is from RefSeq and is a predicted model, not a curated record.